Long non-coding RNA from Asparagus officinalis (garden asparagus), 878 nucleotides. RefSeq lists it as uncharacterized. The record is from RefSeq and is a predicted model, not a curated record. The transcript has 3 exons. NCBI's taxonomy places the organism in Eukaryota, Viridiplantae, Streptophyta, Magnoliopsida, Asparagales, Asparagaceae.
CCCCUUUUUAUCUCCUUCGCAACCGCCCCUUCACCUCUCUUCAUCUGCCGUUCCUCAACACCGACACGACUCUCCCUCUUCCCGUCUCCCUCUCUCUUUGAAAACGCCCAAAUCCCUUUAUUACCUCCGUUAUCCUUGCUUAUCCCUGCCCCUCUCCCUCUUCCCGUCUCUAAAUUAUUUCGACGUUCAGAAUUCCGUCAGUUUCCCUCUACCUCUCACGUGCUCUCCCCUUCCAUUUGGUGAUUCUAUAAAUACCUUCCGCUGCAAUUUUGAUAGAACAACGAAGGGGUUUUCUUCCAAUUGUGACCGGGAUUGAUUGGAGGAGUAGAAAGCUGUCAAUCAAGAAAUCCUGAAUCCGCCACUGUUGUGCAUCACUGAAGACAUGAGCACUGGAGCCUUAAUUUGAAUGUAACUGCAAGUUUGAGAGCCUCAUGGAUACCAUGAUCGAGCCUUGAUGAUGGUGGAAGAGGACAUCCAAUUAGACAUGCACGGUGUAAGUGAGGUUAUCUUGAAGAUCCAUCUAACAUAAGGACGGAUCCAUUAAGAGAAGAGUGGGGGCAUGCUCCCCUACAUGAUUUUAAAUUUGUUAAUAUUUUUUUAUAUAGAGACAUGCAUCUACAUUAUUUAUGAGACAUGCAUGCUGAUGAGCGUGGUUUCCACCUUGAUUCGGGAUUUAGCUCUUCUUCGCAUGCUGGCAAUAGACGAAGAUAGCAGGAUGACAAGAUGUUAAUUCCUCAACUCGAUCGUCUCUAAGAAGAACGAAACAAAAAAUGCUACUAGUCUCUAACAAGUCAAGGGAUUGUGUUACAGCGAUACAAUUAAUCUCCAAAUUAAAGGUUGCUUAAUUAAUUAAAUUAAAGAGGUUGGAGCAUUUCCCA